RNAcentral lists this long non-coding RNA (483 nucleotides) under Bos taurus (domestic cattle). RNAcentral describes it as "long non-coding RNA NONBTAT006776". Lineage: Eukaryota; Metazoa; Chordata; Mammalia; Artiodactyla; Bovidae. The record is from RNAcentral.
GUCAAUACAUUGCUAUUAAUAAAACUCCAACAGCCACUAAUAAGGUUUUGACUGAUGAUAAGGUAAUAAAAACUACUUUGUAUAGGAAGUACAUGGGUGCCUGUGCCUGUCUAGGGUUGGUGAAAGUCCACUUAAGUUUACGGUGAAGAUAGGUAUCAAACUGGAAAAUCCACACCUAUUUAAAAGUUAUAUAGUCCAUUGAAUGCCAGAAGGUUAAAGAGGCCUUAUUUCUAAGAGUUUAUUGUCAGUAAUAAUGCUUCAGAAUAUCCAAUUUAAAUGUAUAGUGUAAAUAUGUAAAUAUUUUACUUUGAGUCUCUUUUUGACUGGCAUUUCUGUGUUUCUGAAACAUAUAAUAACCCGUAAGCACUAUUGUUUAAAAUGUUGUCAAAUAAUCCUUUUAUGUACUUGCUAUCAAACUUCUUCUCCAGGUAUGAAAUAUGUUACAAGACAAGGUGCAAAUUUAAACAAUGCUGGUGUUGAAAU